GAAAUUGGGAGUUGGGGAUUCAGGAGAACAGCACAGGCGGGGAUAAAAAACCAUUGAUAAAAAGAGCCAUUUGCCUCCCUUCUUGUUCCCUCUUUGAGAUUCUGGAUGAAGCUGCUCUUUCUGGUGUCUGCUGCUUUUCUGUUUCCUGUUCGCAGAUUGUCACUGCUGCCAGAAAGAAAACAAACGCCCCUGAACUCCAGAAAACGUGUGUGUAUGGACAUGACUGUUGGUGCCGUAACCACCUCCACCCAAACCACCUCAGUCUUCCUUCUCAGUACUCAAGGUCAGCUGCCGCAGUGGUUCUUACUGUCAGUGUUGAAAGUGAAAAGUGAAAAUG
This is a long non-coding RNA of Bos mutus (wild yak), 337 nucleotides long. NCBI's taxonomy places the organism in Eukaryota, Metazoa, Chordata, Mammalia, Artiodactyla, Bovidae. The record is from Ensembl.